Molecule: transfer RNA, 77 nt
Filed under: Acetobacter sp.
Lineage: Bacteria; Pseudomonadati; Pseudomonadota; Alphaproteobacteria; Acetobacterales; Acetobacteraceae
Also listed under: 8 other names
Description: tRNA-Pro
Rfam family: tRNA
About the family: Transfer RNA (tRNA) molecules are approximately 80 nucleotides in length. Their secondary structure includes four short double-helical elements and three loops (D, anti-codon, and T loops).
Source: RNAcentral
CGGGACGUAGUUCAGCCUGGUAGAGCGCUUGCAUGGGGUGCAAGAAGUCGGAGGUUCGAAUCCUCUCGUCCCGACCA